GAGAAUGCCGGGCAAGACGGGGGGGGAGUAAGGAGGGUGGAAAGGUUAUCCGGAUUUACGUGGUUUAAAGGGGGCGUAGGGGGGCAGGUAAGUAAGGGGUGAAAGCUCCGGGCUUAACCCGGAAACUGCCGUUGAUACUAUCUGUCUUGAAUAUCCUGGAGGUGAACGGAAUAUGUCAUGUAGCGGUGAAAUGCUUAGAUAUGACAUAGAACACCAAUUGCGAAGGCAGUUCACUACGGGAUCAUUGACACUGAGGCACGAAAGCGUGGGGAUCAAACAGGAUUAGAUACCCCGGUAGUC
The sequence is a ribosomal RNA, 300 nucleotides long. It matches the Rfam family "Bacterial small subunit ribosomal RNA", at positions 496 to 795 of the family's 1533-position model.